ACCUGACCCAUCGAACGUG
This 19-nucleotide unclassified non-coding RNA is filed under the name Chlamydomonas reinhardtii. RNAcentral's name for it is "small RNA Cre_0278". The record is from RNAcentral. Lineage: Eukaryota; Viridiplantae; Chlorophyta; Chlorophyceae; Chlamydomonadales; Chlamydomonadaceae.